GCUGUAUGCCCUUUUCGGGCGUUUCCUCCCUAAACUCAGGCCGCUCCCGUAGCGGCCUUUUCUUUUUUCGGC
This 72-nucleotide small RNA is filed under the name Azospirillum sp. RU37A. Its description in RNAcentral is "suhB". It matches the Rfam family "Makes More Granules Regulator RNA (mmgR)". From Rfam's summary of the family: SuhB later renamed mmgR (makes more granules regulator) was a putative non-coding RNA found multiple times in the Agrobacterium tumefaciens genome and related alpha-proteobacteria. Other non-coding RNAs uncovered in the same analysis include: speF, ybhL, metA, and serC. RNAcentral also lists the same sequence under 1 other name. Lineage: Bacteria; Pseudomonadati; Pseudomonadota; Alphaproteobacteria; Rhodospirillales; Azospirillaceae. The record is from RNAcentral.